Canis lupus familiaris (dog) is the source of this 1144-nucleotide long non-coding RNA. RefSeq lists it as uncharacterized. The record is from RefSeq and is a predicted model, not a curated record. NCBI's taxonomy places the organism in Eukaryota, Metazoa, Chordata, Mammalia, Carnivora, Canidae. The transcript has 4 exons.
GCCGGCCGGAGCGCCCGGAGCGUGGGGCGCAGCUCGCCAGCCCCGAGCAGCAGGAGCGCUGCGAGCCGCGCGCUUACUUAUACAGGAAGCGCAGGCGCGGCACUUCCUACUUGGCAUCUGGGUCGCACUUGGAGAGCAGGGGCUGAAUGUGAAUGUGGGGAUUGACUCCAAAGGGGCACCAGGCAGCUUUUGCGGUCGGUGACUAGAGGCAGCCUAAAACUGAAUGGCAGUGCUGUUUGCAUGAUUGCAGAAGUUUACUGAAAGUCUUCCAACUGUGCACUUAAAAUGGGUAAAAUUUCUGCAUUUGUCAGCACUGAUAGACAUCAGGUAAACCUGCUGCCCACCUACAAAUCCAAGAGAAAAACAUAUUCUUGCAUAUCCAGAGUGCCUCUGCCUGAUUCCCUGAAACCUUGAAGUGCCAGGAGCUGGAACUAUUUUUAAAUGGGAGCAACUGCUAAAACAGAUCCCCCUUCGGCCCUCUUCACUUUGCAUCUAAGUGCCAGCCAUAUGGAACUCUUUUCAGGCACUCCAAGUUUCUCCUCUGGCUCUCCAUGUUCCCAUGCUAUUCUCCCCACCGUUUUCCCCUGAUGAACAGCUCCCCAUGCUCCAAAAUGUCACUCAAGGGGACACACCCUCUCCGCAUCCACCUGCCUCCUCCCCCAUAAGACUAGAUGGCCUCCUCCAUCAAUGGUCUUCCAUCGUCAGCAUGGUGCUCUUACUCUGAGUGACGGAACUCACUCAGCAAACAUUUAUUAGGCUCCUAUUACCUACUCCAUUCAUUAUUAGGUGUUGGCAGUACAAAAAUAAAUAAAACACACAACAUUUCACAUGAUGUAGGAAAAGUCAGAUGUGUAUGCAGGUCAGAGCAGUGCCACGUGGACCCAGGAAGGAGCUCUGUGAGCCCUGCCCUGCAGCACAAGGAGAGUCUGGGCAAGAAGUAUGGGAAGCCACAGAGAGGAAGCUGGAUGAAAGGAACCACGUGAGCAAAUCUAAAGAGAGGGACAGAAGAUAAGUUGUACUGAAAGCAGAAAACAUUUCCCCAGCUAAGGCAUUCCAACAAAAAACAAAAACAAAAAAACCUCAACUUUAAAACGACUCACUAAAAACUAAAAAUAAAUAAAAAAUAAAAAUAAAACAACUCACU